CCUACGGGAGGCAGCAGUGGGGAAUAUUGGACAAUGGGGGAAACCCUGAUGCAGCGACGCCGCGUGAGUGAAGAAGUAAUUCGUUAUGUAAAGCUCUAUCUGCAGGGAAGAAAAUGAAGGUACGUGAGUAAGAAGCCCCGUCUAACUACGUGCCAGCAGCCGCGGGAAUACGUAGGGGGCAGCCGUUAUCCGGAUUUACUGGGUGUAAUGGGAGCGUAGACGGGAGUGCAAGUCUGUAGUGAAAGGGUGGGGCUCAACCCCCGGACUGCUCUGGAAACUGUACGGCUGGAGUGCAGGAGAGGUAAGUGGAAUUCCUGGUGUAGCGGUGAAAUGCGUAGAUAUUAGGAGGAACACCAGUGGCGAAGGCGGCUUACUGGACUGUAACUGACGUUGAGGCUCGAAAGCGUGGGGAGCAAACAGGAUUAGAUACCCCUGUAGUC
RNAcentral lists this ribosomal RNA (440 nucleotides) under uncultured bacterium. RNAcentral describes it as "partial 16S ribosomal RNA". It matches the Rfam family "Bacterial small subunit ribosomal RNA", at positions 338 to 795 of the family's 1533-position model. The record is from RNAcentral.